Long non-coding RNA from Triticum dicoccoides, 3578 nucleotides. RefSeq lists it as uncharacterized. The record is from RefSeq and is a predicted model, not a curated record. NCBI's taxonomy places the organism in Eukaryota, Viridiplantae, Streptophyta, Magnoliopsida, Poales, Poaceae. The transcript has 9 exons.
CCUCAACUAAACUACGCCGCUCCACCUUGCUGUCACCAGCCCCUUCUUUGCCCACCUCCUCCUCCUUCUGACACACAGAUCUAGUUGCAUCGGUCGCCGCGCAACAACCCUAGCCACGACGAGCUCCACCACCGUGCGGUCCGGGAGCCACGCCACAGCAGCGCACCCUCCGGCCACAGCCCUAUGCGCAGACGUACAUCGCCUCCCUCUGGCCCAGAACGCAAUCCGACGCCGCAGUCCGCGCCCAGCGAGGGGCGGCAGCAAACCUCGCCUUCUCCGUGCGAUGCUGCUGCCGCUGUAGGCGUCCCCACCCCCGUCCACUGCUCUCCCCCAUCUGCAGUGAUUUUGUUGGCGAAGGUGCCUAGUGAUUUGUUGGUGAAGCUGGCACACAGGCAAGUGAUUUCUCCAGUAUCUACUUAGCUUCUCUGUGUUCUCAGUUGCUGAUGCUUUGCUGUAUCAACUCUGGGUGGCUGGUGAUGGAAGCAUGCAAAUGAUAUCUACUUCUCUCAUCUUGCUUGGUCCAUUGGAGUACACAACUCUGAACCCCGUGCCGAUAGCUAUCCGUUUCAAUUAUUUUGGCAUAUCCAUGUGCAUCGUUGGUUACGACUCCAGCUCGCGCGCCCUCCGUGGAUCAGGCAUCAACGGUCGCAGUUCUGAGGAUGCCACCUCCUCUGGUGCUCUGCAUCCAUCUUCCCCACUAAGGUGUGCGCGGUGAGCUGGGCGCUAGUCAUGGAUGGGGAUGUUGCUAUCGCUAGGGGCCGCACCGUGGGGUCUCGUCUUUGGUAUAUCGAGCACCAGCUCCGAUAGCUGCACGUUCCACAGGCUACAGCAGCUCGGCAUGAUGCUGUGCGGCGCUUAGCUUCCCAUCACAGCCUCCCUCCCUGAGAAUCUCCAUCCUUUGCACUUCUCUCUUCGAGCACUUCAUACACCCCCCCCCUAUCGCACACCUUGGAAUGGUGCUUCUGCCUUUUACAGCCCCUAAGACUGCAGAUUUUAGGAUGCCAAGAUGCAGACUAUGUACAGUCGAACAGAGAAACAAGAUAUGUGCCAUGUAUAGAGAAGAAUGUGCAAACCUAUGUUUUUCCUAGGGACUAGAUGUACAUGUUGUGGUUUUUAAAAAAAACUGUGGAUGCAAAUUUGCUUUUUUCUAAAUGCAUUGUCUUUUUUAUGAACAUAUACAUGCAGUACCUAAAAGCAUUUUCUGAGACAGAUUUGCCUUUUGUUCCUAUAAUUCGUGCUCGUAUCUGGGCCUGGGCUCGCAAGCCACGAGGGCGGGAAAAUUUCCUGCUGCAAGCGCCAACAUACAGCCUUAAAUAGCAUCUUGCCAAAAAAAGAGAAUACAAUAAUGGUAUUCUUACCUAAAACGGCAAGGCCGUACCGUAAGACUAUAAUACGGCCGGCCGUAAGUUAGCCAAGUCCCUAAUGCCCUUGUUUUCUGUUUCGCUCUUUAUUCCAUUGGCAAAAACUUCUCCAAGUUACUUAUGCCUUUCACUAGUGGCGUAUUGACAAUCUUAAACUGCAUCCUGGUAUAUGAAACAGUUAAUUGAAAUGCUUUACAAUCUGUUUGUACUUGUAGCAUAUGGAAUUUAAUCGUGGUACAUCCAACGGCUCGUGUAUCUUAUGUAUCGAAAGACUUGUGUAUCAUAUGCAAUUUAAUCAUGGUAUAUGCAAAAGCUUAAUACCUGGUACAUUCAAACGCUUAAUACCCUGGCAAUUGGCUCCUGCAUAUUUAGUAUGUGUCCACUCCUUUACACAAAACUGCCAUCAUGGAAGUUUUAUGUCGCUUUCAUACCCAAUAUUUGCACUUCGCUUCUUACCACACCGUAUGCAUGUAUCUUUUAAUGCCUGAGUUUUAGUAAUAUCGCUCUCUAAACAGGUGAUGGAAAGCAAGCGGCUUAUAAAGUGCUUCCUGAAUUAUUUGAGACACGAUCGUACUGAAGUUGGUGCACUCUUUGAUAUGCUAUCAAUAUUCUUGUACCGCAAUUAUAUAGAUUAUAGCUUUCUCAAGGAAUUUUAUGUCAUAGAGGCAAUGCCAUUUCUUGUUUCUGACUUAUGAGAAUCUUUUUAUGUAUUUAUUGACUAUUUUACUUAUCAUCUGUACAUGUUCUUUUAGCUUGCUUAAGGAUACACUGCAAGUUUGAAGAAAACUAUCCUUAACCACUUUCUGAACAUUUUUCAGUCAAAACAAUACGGGCAAGAUCAUUUAGUUGUUACCAUGCAGAUUCUUAUACUUCCAAUGGUAGCUUAUUCUUUCCAAAAUUGACAGGGUUGGGAAGUUGUUAAUCCUUCUAUAAUUAUUAAAACUAUUGUUGCUGAUCCUCCAGAACAGGAACUCAUAAAAUUCGGUUGGAACCAUCUGAAGCGUGAAGAUAACUCCAUCAAACAGUGGACCUUUGUGAAUGUUUGUCACUUCUUAGUCCUAUCAAGAACCCGAAAAGAUUAUUUUACAGGUCUUCAUCACUCUGCUACGGACAUGCCAACCAGAGAAUAAGCUACUGGUGAAGCAAGCUCUCGCUAUUCUCAUGCCUGCCCUUCCGAGAAGACUUCCUCCUAGUGAUAGCCGCUUGCCGAUAUGGAUCAGAUACACCAAGAAAGUCCUUGUGGAGGAGGGGCAUUCAAUUCCAAACAUGAUUCACAUAUUCCAGCUUAUUGUUCGCCAUGCAGACCUUUUUUAUAGUUGCAGAGAGCAGAUGGUUACUCUCUAAGUCGUCUAGGAUUACCAUACAACACAACAGCGGAAAAUAGACGGCUUGCCAUUGAACUGGCUGGAUUGGUGGUCGCAGGGUAAAGACAGACACAAAGUGAGAUGAAAAUCGUGUAGGAAAGUGAGAUCCAGAAUCAAAUAAGGUGAUAUGCUUAAUCCUUCUGUUAUCGGUGGUGAUCCAAAACUCUCCUCUGAUAUUCCAUCAUUUGCUUGUGAUUUGAGUAAGAGGCUGAAAGUUGAGCCGGGCUUGCAACCUCUUUGUGUAAUGUCGCCGGGUGGGGCAUCCCCUAAAAUUGACACACUCGGAGCUUCAGGGCAACUUGAUGAGGAGUAUAAACCUAAUGCAUCAAUGGAGGAGAUGAUCAUUACUUUCCUGAAUAGAUUCAGUAAUAGAUGCAUUCAAGGAUUUUGGCCAAACAAAUCCUCAACUUCACCAUCUUGGUUACCGAGACAAGGCUUGGAAUGUGAAUAAGCUCGCUGACAUAGCUCACAAACAAGGUUUGUCUGUGUUGUCGUCAAGGUAACUAUUGAUUUCCUACUGUACCACUACAAGCAACUACUGUGGCCUAUAAUAGGCAAAAACUGAUUUUUGGCUGCUUCAUUUGGAAACUAUGGCGAAGAAUCUGAAGGCCUUAACAUAGUGUAGGAGUAUGUCAAAUCGCACUAGAUAUAGUGCAUCAGUAUCUAGAACUUGUUAAGACCUGAGUUUAAUUUUGUGCUUGGUUCUUGGGCCUUGCUAGGAGAUUAGCUAGAGCAAUUUUCAAGUGUGAGCCAAGGAGUGAUGUCAACACUUUGAAUAUCUCGAUUCUUGUUUUAAGUGUUGUCAUCUGGUGUUAAUACAAAUAAUCAAGGGCUGAUAUCCUGCUUCUGUUCU